RNAcentral lists this ribosomal RNA (483 nucleotides) under uncultured bacterium. Its description in RNAcentral is "partial 16S ribosomal RNA". It matches the Rfam family "Bacterial small subunit ribosomal RNA", at positions 28 to 523 of the family's 1533-position model. The record is from RNAcentral.
GACGAACGCUGGCGGCGUGCUUAACACAUGCAAGUCGAACGAUGAAGCCGGAGCUUGCUCCGGUGGAUUAGUGGCGAACGGGUGAGUAACACGUGAGCAAUCUGCCCUUGACUCUGGGAUAACUGCGGGAAACUGUAGCUAAUACCGGAUACGACACCUUGGGGCAUCCCAGGGUGUGGAAAGAAUUUCGGUCAAGGAUGAGCUCGCGGCCUAUCAGCUAGUUGGGGAGGUAAUGGCUCACCAAGGCGACGACGGGUAGCCGGCCUGGGAGGGUGACCGGCCACACUGGAACUGAGACACGGUCCAGACUCCUACGGGAGGCAGCAGUGGGGAAUAUUGCACAAUGGGCGAAAGCCUGAUGCAGCAACGCCGCGUGAGGGAUGAAGGCCUUCGGGUUGUAAACCUCUUUUAGCAGGGAAGAAGCGAAAGUGACGGUACCUGCAGAAAAAGCACCGGCUAACUACGUGCCAGCCGCCGCCGUAA